Molecule: transfer RNA, 75 nt
Filed under: Candidatus Woesebacteria bacterium
Lineage: Bacteria; Candidatus Woeseibacteriota
Description: tRNA-Lys
Rfam family: tRNA
About the family: Transfer RNA (tRNA) molecules are approximately 80 nucleotides in length. Their secondary structure includes four short double-helical elements and three loops (D, anti-codon, and T loops).
Source: RNAcentral
GGGCCGUUAGCUCAGCGGUAGAGCAAUUCCCUCUUAAGGAAAAGGUCGAUGGUUCGAAUCCAUCACGGCUCACCA